UAUAUGGGCUAUAUAUGUAUACACGAUUUUUAAACUGCAUCUCACCAGUACAGAGCUGGCUGAGGCAGCACUGUGUUGACCCAUGUGGGGAGGUGCUCUUAGAACUCUAUUGGGCCGGAACCAUGUGAGGAGGUGCUCUUAGAACUCUACUGGGCCAGACCCAUGUGAGGAGGUGAGGCUGAAGUCUGUGCCGGGUGAUCAGAAUCAGAAUCAGAAUUGUAUUUAUUGCCAAGUAAGUUUACACCUACCUGGAAUUUGCUCUGGUGUAUAGGAUGAGGCUGUUGCAGAGGAACAGUGGGAUCUGGAAGGCUACACACACUUAGGGGCGUGGGGCCAAAAUCAGCAUUGGGAUCUUCCAUCAGGACCGGCUUCACACACGCAGGAAGUGACCUCUGAGUGAACACAACAAGGAGUGGUGGUGAUGGUGAUGAUGAUGAUGAUGUACAUUUUUCAUACAUAGUGAAAAGUAAACCAACAAGCAAAAAACACAUGUAGUAAUGGGCCAAGCACAAGCAGAGAGGCACAUUUCCAGUAUGUUUUAAGUCAUUCUUAUGAUUUUGAUAAUAAUGAGUAUGGCCGAUGUUUUAAAACUUUAAAUCUUUAAAUCUAUAGGAAAUUAGAUCAUCUAUGAGUUCAUUUCAACACAUGCAGCAAGAGAUCAACUAUGUGAGGUUUUUCUUUAUUCAUUCUUGUUAUUGAGGUUAUAUGUCAUGAUGAAUAAGACAUGGGCUUCUGUAUGUUUCAAUGUUUACAUCUAUA
Molecule: long non-coding RNA, 759 nt
Organism: Clupea harengus (Atlantic herring)
Lineage: Eukaryota; Metazoa; Chordata; Actinopteri; Clupeiformes; Clupeidae
Source: Ensembl